UCCCUGGUGGUCCAGUGGUUAGGACUCAGUGCUUUUAUUGCCAGGCCUGGGUUCAAUCCCUGGUCAAGGAA
RNAcentral lists this transfer RNA (71 nucleotides) under Ovis aries (sheep). It matches the Rfam family "tRNA". Rfam says of the family: Transfer RNA (tRNA) molecules are approximately 80 nucleotides in length. Their secondary structure includes four short double-helical elements and three loops (D, anti-codon, and T loops). The record is from Rfam by way of RNAcentral. Lineage: Eukaryota; Metazoa; Chordata; Mammalia; Artiodactyla; Bovidae.